Molecule: ribosomal RNA, 497 nt
Filed under: uncultured bacterium
Lineage: Bacteria
Description: partial 16S ribosomal RNA
Rfam family: Bacterial small subunit ribosomal RNA
Source: RNAcentral
GAUGAACGCUGGCGGCGUGCCUAAUACAUGCAAGUCGAGCGAACAGACGAGGAGCUUGCUCCUCUGACGUUAGCGGCGGACGGGUGAGUAACACGUGGAUAACCUACCUAUAAGACUGGGAUAACUUCGGGAAACCGGAGCUAAUACCGGAUAAUAUAUUGAACCGCAUGGUUCAAUAGUGAAAGACGGUUUUGCUGUCACUUAUAGAUGGAUCCGCGCCGCAUUAGCUAGUUGGUAAGGUAACGGCUUACCAAGGCGACGAUGCGUAGCCGACCUGAGAGGGUGAUCGGCCACACUGGAACUGAGACACGGUCCAGACUCCUACGGGAGGCAGCAGUAGGAAAUCUUCCGCAAUGGGCGAAAGCCUGACGGAGCAACGCCGCGUGAGUGAUGAAGGUCUUCGGAUCGUAAAACUCUGUUAUUAGGGAAGAACAAAUGUGUAAGUAACUAUGCACGUCUUGACGGUAACUAAUCAGAAAGCCACGGCUAACUACGUG